RNAcentral lists this unclassified non-coding RNA (757 nucleotides) under Yarrowia lipolytica. Lineage: Eukaryota; Fungi; Ascomycota; Dipodascomycetes; Dipodascales. The record is from RNAcentral.
GUAAAUGUCCACCAAUCCCAACCAAGCACAAGGUGUGAUAAUUUCCAUACACCAAACUCUCUGACCACAUAGUCACCGGAUCGAAACCCCUCAACGCAAAAACACCCCUCCAGUCCCGUCUCCACUCCAAUCUUCAGAUGCACUCCAAACCACCAAUACCAAGAACUCUUUGUCAGCAACAGUUGGUCUCAGAAUUCUAAUCAAACAACCAACCGGACCCUGCCAAUCUGGACUCAACCCUGCUCUCUCUCUUUCGUUAUCACGCCAUGACGCAUCACUGCUUGCCAUACCUUUCACAUGCUGCUCUUUCCGGAACAUUAGCGACAGACCUACAGAACAUUUCACAGUACGAACAUACAUGGCACAGUACAUACAUACCGUGUAUCGUACUCGAACUCGAACUCGAACUGUGGAGAGACUAAGCCGACCCAUAUGGUUCGGGCCAGGUCAACAAAAGUAAAGUUCAUAGUGUGGGAAAUGCCGUGCGCAUGUGUAUCUUAGCCCAGGCACGUACCUGACUGGAUUGCCAAAUAUAGCAACGCUGACAGCACAGGUGGAUAUUGGUUCCAUUUCGGGAACGGAUCCCUUGUCACCCACUUAUACGGACUCUUUGUACAUGUCCCAAAAAAGACAGACAGGUGCGCAUUAACAGUCCCGAAGAGACCUCUGUCUACGACCCGUUUAUUUUUGCUCUGAAUUAAAGACAAAGACAACCUCAUGCAUACGGGUAAACUCAAAUAUACAUGCAAUAGACUUC